AUUUAUCAUGUCCAUCGCACAAGGAUGAUGGGCUAGUAUUUGCUGAUGAACAAAUUUUCUACACUUGAUUGGUUUUCACAUAUUUUCUUUAUGUUGUUUUGCUCGUCUUUGUGCAAAAGGUGUCGAUGGACAUGAUAUGGAAUGUUUAAUCUAGAGGGUUCUCUCUCUCUCAUUUAUUUGAAAGUGGGAUUGGACAUUUGGCCUUAGUUGCCUCUGUUUUUG
This 222-nucleotide unclassified non-coding RNA is filed under the name Hevea brasiliensis (rubber tree). Lineage: Eukaryota; Viridiplantae; Streptophyta; Magnoliopsida; Malpighiales; Euphorbiaceae. The record is from RNAcentral.